Ribosomal RNA from Gossypium raimondii (Peruvian cotton), 119 nucleotides. The record is from Rfam. NCBI's taxonomy places the organism in Eukaryota, Viridiplantae, Streptophyta, Magnoliopsida, Malvales, Malvaceae.
GGGUGCGAUCAUACCAGCACUAAUGCACCGGAUCCCAUCAGAACUCUGCAGUUAAGCGUGCUUGGGCGAGAGUAGUACUAGGGUGGGUGACCUCCUGGGAUGUCCUCGUGUUGCACCCC